Molecule: non-coding RNA, 243 nt
Organism: Vicia faba (fava bean)
Lineage: Eukaryota; Viridiplantae; Streptophyta; Magnoliopsida; Fabales; Fabaceae
Source: the annotation of a GenBank genome assembly
AUGGCAAUAAGAGUUAAUGUUGUUGUGUUACCAACAACAACUUUCAUUUUUUUAUAUUUUUUAGAAGACAACAAACCUUCUCUUUCUCUUCAUAUCAUCACCAUCUUUUAUUUGUUUUACUUUAAAAAAACAAAACAAACAGCAGACAUAGGAAAGAAAGAGAGAGAAUGCGGCAGUGACAAGCCAGCCUCAAGGCAGCGCCGCCGCGAAAAGCAAUGUUUUCAAAAAAAAUUACAUUUUUGA